AUAAAUAUUGUCAUUCCAU
Molecule: microRNA, 19 nt
Filed under: Zea mays
Lineage: Eukaryota; Viridiplantae; Streptophyta; Magnoliopsida; Poales; Poaceae
Description: microRNA miR-3058
Source: RNAcentral